UCUAAGUGAUGAAACUGUAACUUGCCAGUUCUGCUUCUGAAAUUUAUUGAUGCUACAAGUUACAUAAUACUGACAG
Molecule: small nucleolar RNA, 76 nt
Organism: Ciona intestinalis (vase tunicate)
Lineage: Eukaryota; Metazoa; Chordata; Ascidiacea; Phlebobranchia; Cionidae
Source: Ensembl